AUCCUUUUGUAGUUCAUAAGUGUGAUGAAUGGGUGUUCACGCUUUUGUGUGAGAUGUGCCUCCCACAAACCUUGUUACGACAUCGGCACAUUACCCGUCUGACG
This 104-nucleotide small nucleolar RNA is filed under the name Rhinolophus ferrumequinum (greater horseshoe bat). RNAcentral's name for it is "Small nucleolar RNA U13 (ENSRFEG00010021125.1)". It matches the Rfam family "Small nucleolar RNA U13". The record is from Rfam by way of RNAcentral. Lineage: Eukaryota; Metazoa; Chordata; Mammalia; Chiroptera; Rhinolophidae.